This 1618-nucleotide long non-coding RNA is filed under the name Lucilia cuprina (Australian sheep blowfly). RNAcentral's name for it is "uncharacterized LOC111679559". The record is from RNAcentral. Lineage: Eukaryota; Metazoa; Arthropoda; Insecta; Diptera; Calliphoridae.
AGAACCAACAGUUGUUAUUUGUCGGUCUUAAACGAAAGAACGAACGUACGUAUACGUCCGUAUGAACGCACCACGCACUCUUUUUGUAAUUCGUCUAUUAAAUCGAGUGUUUUAAACGAUUUAUUUUCCCAAUUUCUUAAAUAAGAAUAAUUACGAAAAUUGUUUAAAAGGAAAAUUCUAAGUUUCCCAAAUUUGUGUUUAAUUUGAAAAAAAGAAGAAAACAAAAAAUAUAUAAAUUUGCCCAAGGUGUGUGAGUGUGUUGCACUAUUUUAAAAAUUCAAAAAUAUAUAUAAAAUUUUAACGAAAAAAAAUAAUAAAUAAAUAAAAAAUAGUGAAUACGAAUAUUUAAGUAUAAAAAUUUAAAGAAUUGUGUUUUGUUUUUGGAUAUAAAAGUGUGUGUGUGUAUUUUUGUACGUGUUUGAAAUAUCUAUGUAUUGGUUCAGAUAGAUUCCCAUACGCGUCCAUUUUUUUUAAAUUGGUGUGUUCUCUUGUAUGUUGUUUGGUUGUACACUAGACAACAACGACUGUUUUGUUAUAGGAAUCUUUGUUGUUUUUGUUUCACCUCUUCUUCUUCUUGUUCUUGUUAUUCGUUUUCAUUUGAAUGAACUCUAAACAAGUUUUACAUUAAUUUUAAACACAACAAGCAAAAACAACAACAACAAAAACUAACACAAUCUAAAAAUCCAACAUGAAAAAAUAAGAGUUCUGUUCUUUUUCUCUUUACCAAAAAAAAAAAAGAAUAUUCUUCUGGUUGGAAUAUAAAUAGAAAAGGAAAAAAAAUAGAUUUAAAAAUAUCCCCAAAAUAAAUUAAAUUAUAAAAAACCCCACAUAUCCAGCAAGUGUAAUUUAAAAGUAAAAAACCCCAUAGUGUUUAAAAUUGUUUACAUUAAUGCUUGUUCUUAGCAGUGAAGUAAAACCGUUAAAUUGAAAACUUCAGCAAAACAAUAACAAAAAUAAAUAAAUAAUAGAAAAUAAAAAAAAACGAAACAAUAACAAAUCUAACAAACAAACAACAACAAAAAAAAUCAAAACAAAAUCAUACUCUCAUUUACACGCUCUCACACAAAAAAAAAAAUGUUAUGCAUUCGCAACAAGUUGUAACGGAAAAGUGAGUGUAUUAGUGCGUUUUUGUUGUAAUUACAAAUUGUUAAGUCAUACACCUAGUGUUGUUGCAGUUGUUGUUGUCAUAUAUUGUUAUUAUUGGUUCUCAGUUUUCUUUACAUUAAAACUUAAUACAUUUUAACGAAAACAACAAAAAGAAAAAAAUCCAAUAAAAUAAUUUAAAAUAAAAUUCUUGAAAUACCUUAAAAUAACGAACAAACCCAUUAAAUAUUCAUUCUAGCUAAGAGAUACAUACAACUACAACAACAAGAAUAAGUUAAAAUUUUGUAAUAAACAUUCGAAUGGAAUUUGAAAUUAACUACAUUUUGUUGUUUUUCUACAAAUAAAAUAGAAGAAGAAUAUUCAUCAAAGAAAUUCUAAACGUGUAAAAAUAAAGCAGCAAAUUUAAUUUAAAACACAAAUAAUAUUUAAAAUUAAUUUAUUAAAGUAAUAAAGCUAAAUAAGUCUAACAAUUCCCCUAAACAAAUAACAAUAAAUAUUAUAAAUACCAAAAAAA